AUUGAACGCUGGCGGCAGGCCUAACACAUGCAAGUCGAACGAGUGGCGGACGGGUGAGUUAUGUCUGGGAAACUGCCUGAUGGAGGGAGAAAAACACUGGAAACGGUAGCUAAUACCGUAUACCAUCAGAUGUGCCCAGAUGGGAUUAGCUUGUUGGUGGGGUAACGGCUCACCAAGGCGACGAUCCCUAGCUGGUCUGAGAGGAUGACCAGCCACACUGGAACUGAGACACGGCCCAGACUCCUACGGGAGGCAGCAGUGGGGAAUAUUGCACAAUGGGCGCAAGCCUGAUGCAGCCAUGCCGCGUGUAUGAAGAAGGCCUUCGGGUUGUAAAGUACUUUCAGCGGGGAGGCGUUACCCGCAGAAGAAGCACCGGCUAACUCCGUGCCAGCAGCCGCGGUAAUAC
Molecule: ribosomal RNA, 406 nt
Filed under: uncultured bacterium
Lineage: Bacteria
Description: partial 16S ribosomal RNA
Rfam family: Bacterial small subunit ribosomal RNA
Source: RNAcentral